CCUAUUUCAGGGAUAUUAUUAAUUUAGAUUCUAAAAAG
This 38-nucleotide transfer RNA is filed under the name Tetragnatha maxillosa. Its description in RNAcentral is "tRNA-Trp". The record is from RNAcentral. Lineage: Eukaryota; Metazoa; Arthropoda; Arachnida; Araneae; Tetragnathidae.